AGAGCGAACGCUGGCGGCAGGCCUAACACAUGCAAGUCGAACGGAUCCUUCGGGAUUAGUGGCGGACGGGUGAGUAACACGUGGGAACGUGCCUUUUGGUUCGGAACAACUCAGGGAAACUUGAGCUAAUACCGGAUAAGCCUUUCGAGGGAAAGAUUUAUCGCCAUUAGAGCGGCCCGCGUAGGAUUAGCUAGUUGGUGAGGUAAAGGCUCACCAAGGCUACGAUCCUUAGCUGGUCUGAGAGGAUGAUCAGCCACAUUGGGACUGAGACACGGCCCAAACUCCUACGGGAGGCAGCAGUGGGGAAUCUUGCGCAAUGGGCGAAAGCCUGACGCAGCCAUGCCGCGUGAAUGAUGAAGGUCUUAGGAUUGGUAAAAUUCUUUCACCGGGGACAUAAUGACGGUACCCGGAGAAGAAGCCCCGGCUAACUUCGUGCCAGCAGCCGC
RNAcentral lists this ribosomal RNA (446 nucleotides) under uncultured bacterium. RNAcentral's name for it is "SSU rRNA". It matches the Rfam family "Bacterial small subunit ribosomal RNA", at positions 26 to 518 of the family's 1533-position model. The record is from RNAcentral.